UACGUAGGGACCAAGCGUUGUUCGGAUUUACUGGGCGUAAAGGGCGCGUAGGCGGCGUGUCAAGUCAGCUGUGAAAUCUUGAGGCUUAACCUCAAGCGGUCAGCUGAUACUGAUGUGCUAGAGUGCAGAAGGGGCAAUCGGAAUUCUUGGUGUAGCGGUGAAAUGCGUAGAUAUCAAGAGGAACACCUGAGGUGAAGACGGGUUGCUGGGCUGACACUGACGCUGAGGCGCGAAAGCCAGGGGAGCAAACGGGAUUAGAAACCCCCGUAGUCC
This 273-nucleotide ribosomal RNA is filed under the name uncultured bacterium. RNAcentral describes it as "partial 16S ribosomal RNA". It matches the Rfam family "Bacterial small subunit ribosomal RNA", at positions 524 to 796 of the family's 1533-position model. The record is from RNAcentral.